UGUCCCCGUUUGACAGAGGAAGAAACUGAAGCACAGAAGAAUAACAGAUCCGUCUGUGAGCCCACACUCCCUAGAACAGUACCCUGUGAUGAUCCAGAGGUGUGUGACCUUGACCCCAGAAGUUAACACUGAGUGACUGAGCCUGAUUCUUCAUUAACAAAAGUUCAACUCAGACCUGAGGACUUUACACCUUAGUGUAUGUAACAAUCACCUUUACAAGCAGAGUCCUGCAGCCCAUCUCUAGAAAUUCUGAUUAAUUGGGUUUGGUGAGUAGCCCAGGAAACAGCCUGAGGAGACACUGAUGCAGGUGGUGCAGGCACCACACUCCAGGUAUAAAAUUUAUACCCAUGUGUGGUGAACCCAAACCAAGCCGGAAGAAUGGCCUGACUGGCUCCGAGCCCUGGAGAGGACGGGAAAGCUGAGCGGAGGAAGAAGUGGCCACCUGUGGACCCCUCAGCUUCCCUGGUGCGGCGGUAAGAGCGUCUGGUGCCUCUGGACGUUCCAGAAACCGCAUCUUGGAAACAUCUCCUCACUUCUCAGCAUCAAGAUUUUAAGGGACCCCUGGGACACCGUUUUCCCCGAGGAAGACCCUGCUGGGGCGAGGACUCGACGCUUGAGUACCGGGAAGCGGGCUGGGAGCCCCCAGGCUGUGGCUCUCGGCAGCUGCUAGAAAGCCGAGGUCCGUCUUCCCGCGACGCCGUUCCUGGUCCUGAGACGGGGGUCGGGAGAGUGCUGGAGCAGCUCCAGUUCCUGACGUCCUGCUCUGAAGUCCUGAGCCCCGCUUCCCCAGAGAGGAGGAAACCCAGAAGAGCAAAACGCUUACCAGAAAGUGUUUAGGUUCUGUGGCUGCUGCUGUCGUUGUGUUUGGAAGAGGGGCUGGCGGGGCGCAGAGAGGGCAAGAGCAGCUGCCGCCACCUACCGCGCCUGAGCCUGAGCCGGCGGCCUUGAGGGCAGCUGCGACCUCGCCCUUCAUUUCCCUUUGCUCCGCGGGCAUCUCUCCCCGGUCGCCGCUGCCCUCCGUGAGUCACCGUGAGCCCCGCUGGCUCCUGCGCCUGCAUGAAGAGGCUCACAUCUCAUGGAGGGCUGGGACGGAGCAUUUCAACUCUGACCCUUACUUCUCAGAGUGAGAGAGCCGGCCUCCG
Balaenoptera musculus (blue whale) is the source of this 1142-nucleotide long non-coding RNA. RefSeq lists it as uncharacterized. The record is from RefSeq and is a predicted model, not a curated record. The transcript has 4 exons. NCBI's taxonomy places the organism in Eukaryota, Metazoa, Chordata, Mammalia, Artiodactyla, Balaenopteridae.